Molecule: unclassified non-coding RNA, 307 nt
Filed under: plant metagenome
Description: partial contains 5.8S ribosomal RNA, internal transcribed spacer 2, and large subunit ribosomal RNA
Rfam family: 5.8S ribosomal RNA (bases 1-105)
Source: RNAcentral
GAAAUGCGAUAAGUAGUGUGAAUUGCAGAAUUCAGUGAAUCAUCGAAUCUUUGAACGCACAUUGCGCCCUUUGGUAUUCCUUAGGGCAUGCCUGUUCGAGCGUCAUUUAAACCCUUCAAGCUCAGCUUGGUGUUGGGCGUCUUUGUCCCGCCUCCGCGCGCGGACUCGCCCCAAAUUCAUUGGCAGCGGUCCUUGCCUCCUCUCGCGCAGCACAUUGCGCUUCUCGAGGUGUUGCGGCCCGCGUCCAGAAAGCAAUCGUUACCGUCUUUGACCUCGGAUCAGGUAGGGAUACCCGCUGAACUUAAGC